GAUGAAGAACGUAGCGAAAUGCGAUAAGUAAUGUGAAUUGCAGAAUUCAGUGAAUCACCGAAUCUUUGAACGCACCUUGCGCCCUUUGGCCAUUCCGAAGGGCAUGCCUGUUUGAGUAUCAUGAACACCUCAACUCUUCAUGGUUUUCCGUGAUGAGCUUGGACUUUGGGGGUCUUGCUGGCCUAUGGUCAGCUCCUCUAAAAUAAAUCAGCUUGCCAGUGUUUGGUGGGUAUCACAGGUGUGAUAACUAUCUACGCUUGUGGUUUUCCACCAGGUAACCUUCAGCAGUGGAGGUUCGCUGGAGCUCACAGAUGUGUCUCUCCUCAGUGAGGACAGCUCUUUGAAUGUUUGAUCUCAAAUCAGGUAGGACUACCCGCUGAACUUAAGCAUAUCAAUAAGCGGAGGA
Molecule: unclassified non-coding RNA, 406 nt
Filed under: soil metagenome
Description: partial contains 5.8S ribosomal RNA, internal transcribed spacer 2, and large subunit ribosomal RNA
Rfam family: 5.8S ribosomal RNA (bases 1-121)
Source: RNAcentral